RNAcentral lists this ribosomal RNA (2962 nucleotides) under Jiella endophytica. Its description in RNAcentral is "Jiella sp. CBS5Q-3 23S ribosomal RNA". It matches the Rfam family "Bacterial large subunit ribosomal RNA". The record is from RNAcentral. Lineage: Bacteria; Pseudomonadati; Pseudomonadota; Alphaproteobacteria; Hyphomicrobiales; Aurantimonadaceae.
GAUCAAGUGUCUGAAGGGCAUUUGGUGGAUGCCUUGGCAUGCACAGGCGAUGAAGGACGUGAUACGCUGCGAUAAGUCAUGGGGAGCUGCGAAUAAGCUUUGAUCCGUGAAUUUCCGAAUGGGGCAACCCACCUUCGACUACCGUUAAGUCUAAACUGCUCGCUCGCGGCAGAUCGCUUUGCGAUCGCCUGCGCGGGCGCGCCGCUAAAGCGGCGACGGCCGUUCGGCCUAUGACUGCCGUGUUCCCCUGAAGGGCGAGCGGCAGCCAGGGCCCGACCGGGCGACGGGCCUUAUGGCCCGCCCUCGCGGAGGGCCGACGGCCCGUGAGCGGUUUAGAUUAACGGUAGUCAGUGAAGGUAUCUGACUCUGAAUCCAUAGGGGUUAGAAGCGAACUCGGGGAACUGAAACAUCUCAGUACCCGAAGGAAAGGACAUCAACCGAGACUCCGUUAGUAGUGGCGAGCGAACGCGGACCAGGCCAGUGGCCUCGUAUGAGAGAAGCCGAACACGUUGGAAAGCGUGGCGAGAUUGGGUGACAGCCCCGUAGGCGCAAGGCUCUUCGAGGUCCUCGAGUAGGGCGGGACACGUGAAAUCCUGUCUGAACAUGGGGCGACCACGCUCCAAGCCUAAGUACUCGUGCAUGACCGAUAGCGAACCAGUACCGUGAGGGAAAGGUGAAAAGCACCCCGACAAGGGGAGUGAAAGAGAACCUGAAACCGAAUGCCUACAAACAGUCGAAGCCCGUGAGGGUGACGGCGUACCUUUUGUAUAAUGGGUCAGCGACUUAGUCUGGCGAGCAAGCUUAAGCCGAUAGGUGUAGGCGCAGCGAAAGCGAGUCUGAACAGGGCGUUCAGUUCGUCGGAUUAGACCCGAAACCGAGUGAUCUAGCCAUGAGCAGGCUGAAGGUGCGGUAACACGCACUGAAGGGCCGAACCCGCAUCUGUUGCAAUAGAUUGGGAUGACUUGUGGCUAGGGGUGAAAGGCCAAUCAAACUCGGAAAUAGCUGGUUCUCCGCGAAAUCUAUUUAGGUAGAGCGUCGGACUUAUUCUCCAGGGGGUAGAGCACUGGAUGGGCUAUGGGGACUCACCGUCUUACUGAUCCUAACCAAACUCCGAAUACCUGGAAGAACUAUCCGGCAGACACACGGCGGGUGCUAACGUCCGUCGUGGAGAGGGCAACAACCCUGACCACCAGCUAAGGUCCCCAAGUUAUGGCUAAGUGGGAAAGGAUGUGAAGUUUCCAAAACAACCAGGAUGUUGGCUUAGAAGCAGCCAUCAUUUAAAGAAAGCGUAACAGCUCACUGGUCUAAACAAGAGACUUUGCGCCGAAAAUGUACCGGGGCUCAAGCCAUACACCGAAGCUGUGGACUCCUUAGGGAGUGGUAGCGGAGCGUUCCGUAGGCCUGUGAAGGGAUACCCGUGAGGGAUCCUGGAGGUAUCGGAAGUGCGAAUGCUGACAUGAGUAACGAUAAAGGGAGUGAGAGACUCCCUCGCCGAAAGUCCAAGGGUUCCUGCUUAAAGUUAAUCUGAGCAGGGUUAGCCGGCCCCUAAGGCGAGGCCGAAAGGCGUAGUCGAUGGGAACCACGUUAAUAUUCGUGGGCCUGAUGGUAGUGACGGAUUGCGUGUGUCGUAUGGUCUUAACGGAUUGAUCAUGCGGCGAAGCGGUCCCAGGAAACAGCUCCAUCAUUAUAGACCGUACCCGAAACCGACACAGGUGGACUGGUAGAGAAUACCCAGGCGCUUGAGAGAACUCUGCUGAAGGAACUCGGCAAAUUGCACGCGUAACUUCGGAAGAAGCGUGACCUCAUCUUACGCAAGUAGGGUGGGGUGGCACAGACCAGGGGGUAGCGACUGUUUACCAAAAACACAGGGCUCUGCGAAGUCGCAAGACGACGUAUAGGGUCUGACGCCUGCCCGGUGCUGGAAGGUUAAGAGGAGAGGUGCAAGCUUUGAAUCGAAGCCCCAGUAAACGGCGGCCGUAACUAUAACGGUCCUAAGGUAGCGAAAUUCCUUGUCGGGUAAGUUCCGACCUGCACGAAUGGCGUAACGACUUCCCCGCUGUCUCCAGCAGAGACUCAGUGAAAUUGAAUUCCCCGUGAAGAUGCGGGGUUCCUGCGGUCAGACGGAAAGACCCCGUGCACCUUUACUAUAGCUUUACACUGGCAUUCGUGUCGGCAUGUGUAGGAUAGGUGGUAGGCUUUGAAGCGUGGGCGCCAGCUCGCGUGGAGCCAUCCUUGAAAUACCACCCUUAUCGUCAUGGAUGUCUAACCGCGGCCCGUCAUCCGGGUCCGGGACAGUGUAUGGUGGGUAGUUUGACUGGGGCGGUCGCCUCCUAAAGAGUAACGGAGGCGCGCGAUGGUGGGCUCAGACCGGUCGGAAAUCGGUCGUCGAGUGCAAUGGCAUAAGCCCGCCUGACUGCGAGACAGACAAGUCGAGCAGAGACGAAAGUCGGUCAUAGUGAUCCGGUGGUCCCGCGUGGAAGGGCCAUCGCUCAACGGAUAAAAGGUACGCCGGGGAUAACAGGCUGAUGACCCCCAAGAGUCCAUAUCGACGGGGUUGUUUGGCACCUCGAUGUCGGCUCAUCGCAUCCUGGGGCUGGAGCAGGUCCCAAGGGUUUGGCUGUUCGCCAAUUAAAGCGGUACGUGAGCUGGGUUCAGAACGUCGUGAGACAGUUCGGUCCCUAUCUGCCGUGGGUGUAGGAGUAUUGACAGGAUCUGACCCUAGUACGAGAGGACCGGGUUGGACGUACCUCUGGUGGACCUGUUGUGGCGCCAGCCGCAGUGCAGGGUAGCUAUGUACGGUCGGGAUAACCGCUGAAGGCAUCUAAGCGGGAAACCCACCUGAAAACGAGUGCUCCCUAUCAGAGCCGUGGUAGACGACCACGUCGAUAGGCCGGGUGUGGAAGCGUGGCAACACGUGAAGCUUACCGGUACUAAUCGCUCGAUCGGCUUGAUCGUUCUCAUU